RNAcentral lists this ribosomal RNA (419 nucleotides) under uncultured bacterium. RNAcentral's name for it is "bacterial SSU rRNA". It matches the Rfam family "Bacterial small subunit ribosomal RNA", at positions 358 to 774 of the family's 1533-position model. The record is from RNAcentral.
GGAAUAUUGGGCAAUGGGCGAGAGCCUGACCCAGCCAUGCCGCGUGCAGGAAGAAGGCUUUCUGAGUCGUAAACUGCUUUUGACAGGGAAGAAUAAGCACUACGUGUAGUGUGAUGACGGUACCUGCAGAAUAAGCACCGGCUAACUCCGUGCCAGCAGCCGCGGUAAUACGGAGGGUGCGAGCGUUGUCCGGAUUUAUUGGGUUUAAAGGGUGCGUAGGCGGCUUUUUAAGUCUGGGGUGAAAGCCCGCUGCUCAACAGCGGAACUGCCCUGGAUACUGGAGAGCUUGAGUACAGACGAGGUUGGCGGAAUGGACGGAGUAGCGGUGAAAUGCAUAGAUACCGUCCAGAACCCCGAUUGCGAAGGCAGCUGACUAGGCUGUUACUGACGCUGAGGCACGAAAGCGUGGGGAGCGAACA